Long non-coding RNA from Pipistrellus kuhlii (Kuhl's pipistrelle), 247 nucleotides. RefSeq lists it as uncharacterized. The record is from RefSeq and is a predicted model, not a curated record. The transcript has 2 exons. NCBI's taxonomy places the organism in Eukaryota, Metazoa, Chordata, Mammalia, Chiroptera, Vespertilionidae.
AUGGAAAUAGAAAACCUUAGGUCCUAAAAUUAGUCAUACCAAGUCAAUUGCUCAUUGUGUGGUUAUGUGAUCACUUUCACAGUCUGAGAAAUUCACUUCUAAUUGUCCCUUUUUAAUUUUGGUAUCCUAAACACAUAAGAUUUAAUUAUUUUAUUAAUGAACUGUGACCUCCACACUGAUUUUUCAGUACCUCCAUAGGACACUUCUACUUAGGCUAAAGAUUUAAAUUCCUCUUUCCUUCUCUUAA